RNAcentral lists this ribosomal RNA (359 nucleotides) under uncultured bacterium. RNAcentral's name for it is "bacterial SSU rRNA". It matches the Rfam family "Bacterial small subunit ribosomal RNA", at positions 29 to 417 of the family's 1533-position model. The record is from RNAcentral.
AACGAACGCUGGCGGCAUGCCUAACACAUGCAAGUCGAACGAAGCCUUCGGGCUUAGUGGCGCACGGGGUGCGUAACACGUGGGAAUCUGCCCUUCGGUUCGGAAUAACAGUUAGAAAUGACUGCUAAUACCGGAUGAUGACGUAAGUCCAAAGAUUUAUCGCCGAAGGAUGAGCCCGCGUAGGAUUAGGUAGUUGGUAGGGUAAUGGCCUACCAAGCCGACGAUCCUUAGCUGGUCUGAGAGGAUGAUCAGCCACACUGGGACUGAGACACGGCCCAGACUCCUACGGAGGCAGCAGUGGGAAUAUUGGACAAUGGCGAAAGCCUGAUCCAGCAAUGCCGCGUGAGUGAUGAAGGUCC